Molecule: long non-coding RNA, 16487 nt
Filed under: Cucumis sativus (cucumber)
Lineage: Eukaryota; Viridiplantae; Streptophyta; Magnoliopsida; Cucurbitales; Cucurbitaceae
Description: long non-coding RNA (CSAT_LNC001132)
Source: RNAcentral
AAAUACAAAACAGUAACUCCAAUUUCUGUAAUGCCUACCCUAAAGCUAAUUACACCAUGUGUGUCCAUAUCUUUUGCUUUCAAUAAGGCAUCAAGCGUUGUUUGAUACUUGCUUUCCACUAGUUGUCCAAUCUUUAACUAGAGCAGCCAAAUUUCCUACCUGGUAUACAUAAGUAACAUAUAAGCAAUAAAAAUGAGGAAAAAAAUCUAUGGAGAAAACAUGGACAUUUGAUUCAUCUCUUAUUUGUUUAUUCAUUUAUGCACUAUUUUAUGGACCAUUUUCAAGAUAGUACCCUUUUGGGUUCACUAUUAUUGGAUCAAAAUUUAAUUUUUUUAAUGAGUUGAAUAUUCAUUUUAGUUUAAGGAUUUGAUACCAUAUUAGAUAGCAUGAGGCUUCUUUCAAAAUUAAUUGGUGCCCCUAGCUAGAGUGAUGCAAAUUAAAUUCAUAAAUAAUAGAAUUAAGUUAUCAAGCUAGGAAUUCAAAUGAAUAACAAUGAAUUUUGAGCUCAAAACAAAUAUGAAAAUCAAAAUCAUUCACAUUCUUACAAAGACUCACCAUCCGCCUGAUAAUCCUUCUUUCCAAACACUGCAACAUCGAGUUCCACAAUAUUGAACAACUUAGUAACAACAGUAGCAACCCCUCUAAAGAACACAAGCCUACUUCUCCCACACAUGUCCUUCUCCAAAGCCUUAACCCUCACCGAUGUCUCAUCCUCUGAACCAGAUUCCUCCAAGCAAGAAACAUGGGCAUUCUAGGACAAUAUAGACUUUUCCUAGUUAAUUUAUCGGAUUUCUCCAUAGAUUUUUUUCCUCAUUUUUAUUGCUUAUAUGUUACUUAUGUAUACCAGGUAGGAAAUUUGGCUGCUCUAGUUGAAGAUUGGACAACUAGUGGAAAGCAAGUAUCAAACAACGCUUGAUGGCUUAUUAAAAGCAAAAGAUAUGGACACACAUGGUGUAAUUAGCUUUAGGGUAGGCAUUACAGAAACUGGAGUUAUUGUUUUGUAUUUAUUUGAACUUAUGUCUAACCAUUUAAUUGUAUUCUUGAAGUUGAUCAUUUGUGAUAUAGAUGCUAUAAUCGAUGUAAUUGAGAAAAAUUUUGUUCUUCCAUUAUCUUUAAUGUAUUAUUCCAACCCUUACUAGAUAGGUGCGAGAUGUGUACGAGACAGGAGGGAUAACAAUUUGAUUUUGAAAUUAAUAGUAAAAGUUUUGAAAUGUGCAAGGUAGGUGUGAGAUGUGUACGAGAUAGGUGCGAGAUGUGUACGAGAUAGGUGCGAGAUGUGUACGAGAUGUGUACGAGAUAGGCUAAAAGCGAUUAAAGAAAAGUUCAAUCAGUUUACAAGCCUAGAGGAUUAAUAGUGGAGAGUCGUGGAGAAGAAAUUGAUGGAAGUGGAAAAGAAAUGGAUGGAAGAGAAGAAACAUUCACCGGAGGCACCAAAAGUUGGAAGGAAAGAGAAAAGAGGAAGGAGGAAAUUAAAUGAGGGUAUUUCGUCAUUUCACUUCUAAUUUAUCCUAAAUGUCAAUUUUUUUACAAUCAAUCCUAAAAAUCUUUAUCUACCCCAUUUUUGGCCUAUUUUUGUCAAUUCCCCAACUUUGACGGGAGAGGGUUUUGUAUAAAAGGCAAUAAUAAUAAUUCCUAUUCUUCUUAAUAUUAUUUAUUAAUAAAAAUAAUUAAAAGUUUAAAUAAUCCAUCACACAUAUACUUCUUAUCAGUUAUUAGAAUGAAAAAAAAAAGUUAACAAAUAAAAUUUGUAAAAUUAUCAUACAUCGAGAACAAAAAAAAUACAUUUGUGAAAUAAAAAAAAAACUGUAUAAAAGAUAAAAAAUGAAUUACCUUAAUUUUAAUAAUAUUUUAUAUCUUAUCUUGAAAGAUAUAAAAAAUAUUAAAAUGUAUCUAUCUCGAAAUAGGUUUUCAACUACGUCCCAAGUGGAAUAAAAAAUUGUUACCAAACUCUUAAAUAUAGAAUUUCAUAAUCUCUCCAUAAUUUGUAUGUUAGUAUGAGUUUGUAGGGUGUGUUUGUCCCAUGAAGUUAGAAGUAGUGUAUAAAAGUUGAAGUUGUAAAAUCCAGUUCUUGUUUGACUUAAAUAGUUGGCGGAUCAUUAUUAGAAAUUUAAUUCUAAGCACUCUACUUGUCCAACAUUACAAUUUAUUCAAUUAGAUAGUUAAAAAAAAUGACGUCACAAGGUUCUUUAUUAAUGUCCCUACAAUUCCUUCUUCCAUCUAAUGCUACAAAUAUGAACAAUCAGCAUUCACGAAAGGACAAAAAUUGAACUACAUACAGUACAACAAGAAAACAGAUAAAGUCAAAGCCAAAGUACAUUGUAUUGAUGCCAAACUUGUUUACGAAGCUCAUGAAAUAGAAGUUGAUGCAGACCAUUGGUUGUUUCACACCAACUACUUUUCUAUAGAAAAAUAGCUUACCCAUAAAUUAAGAGACAAUAACCGAGGAGAGCAUAGAAGUUGGAAGGUAUUUACAUUGUUGUUGAUGCAAAGAGAUAGUAAGCAGAGGUUGUUAGAGGAUGUGGAACUUAAGAUCUACAGUAUGGUGGAUAAAUUAUUUGGGUCAACAGUAAUAUUUCAGAGUUUGGAAUGAUGAAAAGAGUUUAUAUACUGUGAUAUUCCAUUCAAAUGCACUUACCAUAAAAACGAGGUAGAAGAAAGGAAGAAGAAAGACUAACCUUGAAUCAUUAGCUUCAAGUGUCUAACAGUAGCAAAGGAUGGACUGGUAGACGACGAACACUAAGCAAAGCCAAUGUGGACGACGGUGAGAGAUCAGAAUGUUGUUGUAAAAUCGUGAGAGGCAGGGUAUCACAGUCGCCGUGUUGGGUUUUAGCGUGGCUUUAGCAGUUGUGCUAGAGCGCACUAUAGAGCAAAAAGAAUUAGAUUGAAAGAGGCCGAAAAUGGGGGAAAAUAUUUGGAGGGAACUUAAAUAUUUAUUUCCCACUUUUUCUUUGUUGUUCUUUUCCACAUCCCAUUUAAAAUAAUGGGCUAUUAAAAGUUCGUUUUUGGUGUAGUGCUAUUUGUGUCUCGAAUCGUCCAUUUUCGUUCAAACUACUUUAAAGAUACAAGUAUUAUAACCAACAACAAGAUCGAAAAGAAUUGGUCUAUGCAACUUCAACCUACGUGGCUUUAUCAGGUUCACACACACAAUGAGUGACUUUCCUUCGUUUGGAUCCAUUUCGAAAAUUGUACUCUAAUGGCCCAAAAUGAAAGGCCAUCGUCUAUUUACUCGAAUCCUAGCAAUAAUUUAUUCUCACUUAAAAUUUUAAACGUAUAUGGAAAGCCCACAAUGCUCGACCCAAAAUUAACGUAUAAAAAUACCAAACCAUAGUCUUGCCUAUUUGGUAGUUAAUUUGAAUCUCAAAGCCCAACCCCGAUUACAAGAACACUCUCUCAUGAGAGACCCCAUUAUAAGAACACAUUCUCAAAGUUUUUAACCACUCAUACUUUUUAUCCACUAUCCAACUAGAUAAUACAGAAGAAAUUUAAUUAGAGUAAUCACACUAAAACUUAAAAUGUUUAUAAGUGAGAAUUUCUAAAUAAAUGAAAUAGGUUUCUUUUAUAGGAUUUGAGUCUCAAUUUUCUAAAAAAAAGAUAACCACAUCUUGCCAAACCCAAUACUUAAAAACAAACAAAUCAAAUAAUUAUCUUUACAAAAAAAAAAACUAAAAAAAUACAAGUCGAUUCCUAUUUAUUAAAAUAAUAAAGAAAACCUGUUACCAAAAUAUGAAAUUUGUUUUUAAAAAAUCUACAUCUAAUGAUCUACCAUUUUCAUAAAUUAAUAAUUCUUUUGUGAUUUCACAUUGAGAUCAUAAAUAACUUAAAAUUACCAUGUCAGAAGGAAAUUUUGUUUGACAAGAGCCUAACUUAUAAAUGAAUGAUGGAAAAUAAUAUGGUGCAACCUUCAAAACAACAUAAAUAAGAAAAUAUUGCAACAUAGUUAGCAAAUAAGAGAAAAAGAGAAUGUAACCUGAAAAGGAAGUUUAUGAGUAAUUUCAUCAUUGUUGUGGUUUUGUCCAUGAUCUCUUUAAUAUUUUCUAUUAUCUUCAUUGCACUCCUAGUAAUUGAUACCCUUAGGCAACCACUGCUCAACAUGAUAGAACUAAGUCAUGCACAGCGGAAAAAAGAAUCGAAUUUCUACCCUAAUUGCCACAAUUAACAUGUAACCAUAAACUAAUCAAAUUAGGGUUUUAAGAAAUAUUACCUUUGAAGCUUUCAAAAGGUUUCAUAUCUUCUUACCAAUUCUAACAGAGACCACCACUAGUACUCAACUGCUAUCCUCUAGACAAUGAACCGGGUUGUGGGACCAAUUUUGUGUAGAAAGUAAUGGAGAUAAAAUGGGAUUGGAAUGUUUUUUUUCUUUGUUGAGAUGAUGAAAAAUGAUAAAAGAGGCAAAAGUUCUUCAACAUUUGAAAACACCUCUAUUUAUAACCUAAUUACAUGAAAAAAAUGCAUGCAAUUCAUUUGCCAAAUCUCAACACCUAAUGUUCCACUAACAAUUAGUGGAACUUAGUGGGCUAGGUGUCUAUAUCUCAUAUAGCCACAUAUCUCACUAAGAGUUAGUGGGAUUAUCCAACAAAAUGUUGGAUUUUCCCACUAACUUAGUCCAAGGGUAAAAUGGUCAUUAGAUAUUUCUAGUCAAAAGUCAAACUUUGACUUUUCUUAGUCAAAAGUCAAUAUUUUGACUUUUUACCAUUUUGUCGCGUCUUGACUAAUUCCAACCUCCCGAGCAUGAAUCCGCAUUCAUUUUUCCAAAAUUCAAAUCACAUUUGAAUAUAAGGCCGGUCAAAGUUUGGCUUUUCAAAGUUAAAAGUCAACAUUUGACUUUUUACUAUUUUUGACCAAUUCCAUCAAUUUCGAGCUUCUUAGUAUGAAUCCGCAUUCAUACUUAUAGUAUGUAAAACAUAAAGCUCUAUUUAAUUAGAAGACCAACGACUAUAUCACUAUAUUUGUCGGUUUCCCUUUCUUCUCCCAAUUCGAACAAUUCGACUUAUUUCAUCACACUGUUCUAAGUUUAAUCCAUAUGAGCUAGCAGAGGAACCUAAUGGACCUAUAGAUCAUGGGCUCCAACGAUUCAAGAUUAACUAGCUAAACUCUUUUUAAACCGAGUUAAUCAACAUUUGUUAACUAACGGGUCAUUCCACUAAAGUCCCGUAGUUGCACUCCUCACUAUAGAUAUAUUUGUGUCCAUUUGAUAAAACCAUAAUCAGUAAGUUAAUCCUUCACAUGUUGCUCGUAACCUUGGCUGGGUCAAAAUACCGUUUUACCCCCAAGAUUACAUCUUGCUCCUUAAGUCCCACUAAUCCACUAUUGAAUAAUUGGUUGAAGGUUCAACCUAUAAACUUAAUCCCUCUCGGGCCAAUGAGAGGGUGGGCCCCUUGUUCAAGACUUGGAUUCAGUGCUUAAGAGAACAACCUAUCUACUAACCCUAAAGCGGGUAGGAGUGAAUUCCAUCUUGUACCCUAUGUUCCCAGCUAUCCACCCGAUCUUACCCCUGAAAUGGGAGGCUUAUUGGGCCAACGCUGAUGAGCUGCCCUCACCUAUGCAGAUCUAAGGAUAAUCUCGUGUGAACAAGAGUUCAUAGUUAACUCAUGAUUAAGACUAAGUUACCUAGGUCAUCAAUAAUUGAGAUAGUCAGUUUUAAACAGUAAACGGUGUUAUAACGUAAAAAAGACUAAUUCAUGGUUCAGUCUUAUGUAAACAUUUUACAUAGGAUGCCCCCACUUUCAUGUCUCUACAUGAACGAUUAGAUCACAUCGUUUGUACUACAAAGUGGGCCGCAUCCAUAGUUUCUCUAAAUAAGGCGCCCAACCUUUAUUUCAUAUACUAUAGACUAUUUAGGCUAUAUACUCGAACUUGAUUCACGUUUAUGUUUACACAUAAAGUUCAAGUUUAUUCAAAAAAUAGCCUUGGAACUUGAUUUAUUGGAUUUAAGAUUAUAAUAUUUAAUUUCUCAAUAACAACUUUAUUGAACAGAAUAUGAUUUACAAACUACGAGUUUUAGGACAAAAAAUUCCAACACAACAUCCUUCUUACAAAAAAAAAUAGGCAAAAGACAAGGGGGCUUGUAGAGGUGAAUAAAACAAAGGGGGCAGAAUAGUAAAGGAUAAUGAAAACACAAAGAAAUGUAAUUACAGGGAGAACUAUUUGUGGGAGAAAUGGUAGAAUAAUUUGUAGAAAUUUGAUCGUCUUUUUAUGUUAAGAAGACAAGAAGAACAAAGGAUAACAUAAAAGCAAAUUAGAACUCUGUGGAGUUAUGAUGGAAAAAAACUAGCUGUGAGAGAAAGCUUGAAGAGAAAAUAAAUGAAAGGUACUCUGAUUUUGUGGACAAUGGCAAUCCACAACUCUGUUGUACAUUAUUUAAAAUAGAAAAUAGAAACUAGAAUAUGAACCUCAUUGAUAAAUAAACUGUAGCCUAACAAAAACCCUAAACCCCGAAUCCCUAACCCCUAAACCCCUUUGCUAUAGUAAAUGGUAUUUAAAAAUCUCAAAUUAACUAUCUUAAACACUAUUUCAAAUCCUCAAUUUCCUAUAAUAUUUAUUAUUUACUACGAUAUUUCUUAAAUUAUUUUUUUGUGAAGUUACAAAACUAUACUUGUUGAAAAAAAAAAAGAUGCAGUGGAAAAUACAUCCACAUAUAUUUUAACAAUUUCAAAAUUAAUUUGACUAAAUACAAUUUAAUUUAGUCAAACCCUAAACCCUAGACCCGUAAACCCCUAAACAAACUCUUUUGUGAAUGAUAUCUUUGCGCCUAUAGCUCCUUUGACCGGAGGUUAUCCCCUUUCCUCUCAUUCUCUACUCGACUUUAUAAACUCCUAAUACUAGGAUUUUCAUAAUUCGAGAUCCGAACAAGGAGUGAGCUAUUUUAGCCAACUCCCUUCCUUGCAAAUCUAGACCCAAACACCCCAACAUGUUAACAAACGACUGAAAAAAAAAAAAGUAAUAUCCACAAAAAUAGACAUGGUCGAAAUUCGAAAAAUACAUGUUCCUUGGUGAUAGAAUGGAAGGUUUGGGAGUGAUUGUGGUGUCCCCAUAGUUAGCAACCAUAUUGGUGGAGAUAAAGUAUUUGGUGUAAGUUAACAGAAGGUAUGAAGUAGAUGCUACAUAUUGCAUAUUACUGUCACUCAUUUUGAACAGCAACCCUCCUUCACAAAACGGUAGGGGGGAGGGGGUUAAACUUCAUUUUCUUUUUACCAUUUUACCGAUAAUAAAAAUAAAAAAGUAGUCGUUGAUCAUCAAAAUAAAAAAGACCUGGAGCGUAUUUGGGGGAGGAGAAUGAUUCUCUGAGAAUGAUAAAGCAAAUGGCGUUGUUGUUGGGGGUUCUUGGCACGGUGUAGGAACGUUAGUUGAACCUUGCUGAAACUUUUGUUAGUUAAACAAUUGAAAGCAUUUUUUUAUUUUUACAAUAAUAGCAGCCAUACACACAUAUAUAAUAAAAGUUUUACAUAUUCUUGUCUCUUGAAUUCAUCUUUUCUUAAAUAGUACAAUAUAGAAGAGAAAAUAUAAAAAGAUCGCAUGCUCCCUUUUCCUCUUCUUGCUUAUAGUUUUGCACGAUCUUUACUCUCUCCUUGGUUUUUGAUUCAUGUCUUCUGCUCUAAAUAACAUAGAAAAUUUUGAAGACAUAUGAUUAAAUAAAGAAGAUUAAGAAGAGAGAAAGAAACUUAAAAGAUAAAAUACUUUAGGGCCAAACAAUCUUCAAGAAGAUCCACCCUUAGAAACACAUACCUGAAACCGAAACUUGAAACAGAACCUUGAAACCCUAAACCCCAACCCUCGAACCCCAACAAACGAACCACAAAACCUCCAAACCUUUCAACCCCAAAACCCCAAAACUCCUAAACCCAAAACUUGAAACUUCAAACGCUCCAUCCCGAUGCUCGAAAUCACGAACCUCGAACCGAUCCAUGCAACCUAAACCCCGAAACCUGAAACCCUAAACUCCAAACCCCCAAACCCCAAAACUCCUAAACCCAAAACCUCAAAACCUCAAACCUCAAACCUCAAAUGCUCCACCCCAAAGCCUGAAGUCACGAACCCUGAACCGAUCCAUACAUCUUAAACCCUGAAACCUGAAACACUAAACCCUAAAUCCCUAAAAACCUAAAACCGUAAACAAUAAACCCUAAACUUUAGCCCCUAAACCAUAAACCCUAAAGUACCCCAAAACCCAAACCUCGAAACCUCGAAAAGUCUAAACUUUGAAACCUAAAACCCCUAACCCAACCUCAAACCUCCAACCCCCAACCCCAAACCCAAAAACCCGAAACCUGAAACUUGAAAACCCAAACGCUCUACCCUGACACCUGAAAUCACGAACUCCAAACCCUGAAACACCUAAAACCGUAAACCGUAAACCAUAAAUCCUAAAUUUUAACCCUUAAACCAUAAACCGUAAAGUACACCAAAGUACCCCAAACCACGAACCACGAACCCCAACCCCAAACCACGAACCCUGGACCCCAAACCCCAAUCCCCAAUCCCCAAUCCCGAAACUUGAACCCUAAAAUCCUAAACACUAAACCCUAAAGUACCCUUAACCCCAAACCCCAAACCCCGAACCUCGAACGUCGAACCUCCAACCUUGAACCCUGAAAACGAAACUUAAAACCCAAAAACCACAAACCUCGAAACCCAACCCCCAAACCUUCAAACCCUCAAACCUCAAACCUUCCAACCCCAAACCUUCCCAACCCCUAAACCUCCAAACCCCAAACCCUUAAACCCUGAAACUCGAUAUCUAAAACCUGUAAUCCUAACUUCAAACUUUGUUGGUGGAGAUAACAGUUUCUAUUAUUUAGGCAGUAUCUAUGCAUUUUGCAUUAUGGAUUGGUUUGAAAUUUUUAGUUUCUUAUUAUAAUUCGAAUUACAUGCAUUAUGGGUAUCAAACUUUGAUUAAUAUUGGUCAUCGUCUCGGAAUCUAAUAACACACAACCCUAUAACUCUAACCUAAACCCUAAACCCUGAAACCCCAAACGCUCCACCCCGAAUCCCAAAAUCACAAACACUGAACCGAUCCAUGCACCUUAAACCCUGAAACCUAAAACCCUAAACCCUAAACCCCUAAAAACCGUAAACCAUAAAUCCUGAACUUUUAACCCCUAAACCGUAAAACCUAAAGUACCCCAACCCACGAACCCCGAACCCGAAACCCGAACCCAAAAUCCUAAAUAACAAACCCUAAAGUACCCCAAACCCUGAACCCCGAACCUCGAACCUCAAACCUUGAACCCUGAAUGUGAAACCUAUAAUCCCAAAACUGCAAACCUCGAAAAGUCUAAACCUCGAAACCCAAAAUCCCUAUACCAUAACCCAAAACCUUCCAACCCUCAACAAACCCCAAAACCUCAAAACCUCGAAAAGUCUAAACCUCGAAACCCAACUCCCAACCUCUCAAACCUUCCAAGCCUUAACCCUCAAACCUUCCAACACCCAAACCUCCAAACUCCCAACCCCCAACCCCAACCACAAAACCUCUAAAUACCAAAACUCAAAAUCUGAAACCUGAAAUCCUAACUUCAAACUUUGUUGCUGGAGAUAAGAAUUUCUAUUAUUUAGGGAAUAUCUGUUGGAAUUUUUUGUCCUAAAACUCGUAGUUUGUAAAUCAUAUUCUAUUCAAUAAAGUUGUUAUUGAGAAAUUAAAUAUUAUAAUCUUAAAUCCAAUAAAUCAAAGUUCCAAGGCUAUUUUUUGAAUAAACUUGAACUUUAUGUGUAAACAUAAACGUGGAUCAAGUUCGAGUAUAUAGCCUAAAUAGUCUAUAGUAUAUGAAAUAAAGGUUGGGCGCCUUAUUUAGAGAAACUAUGGAUGCGGCCCACUUUGUAGUACAAACGAGGUGAUCCUAAUCGUUCAUGUAGAGACAUGAAAGUGGGGGCAUCCUAUGUAAAAUGUUUACAUAAGACUGAACAUGAAAUAGUCAUUUUUACGUUAUAACACCGUUUACUGUUUAAAACUGACUAUCUCAAUUAUUGAUGACCUAGGUAACUUAGUCUUAAUCCUGAGUUAACUAUGAACUCCUGUUCAUACGAGAUUAUCCUUAGAUCUGCAUAGGUGAGGGCAGCUCAUCAGCGUUGGCCCAAUAAGCCUCCCAUUUCAGGGGUAAGAUCGGGUGGAUAGCUGGGAACAUAGGGUACAAGAUGGAAUUCACUCCUACCCGCUUUAGGGUUAGUAGAUAGGUUGCUCUCUUAAGCACUGAAUCCAAGUCUUGAACAAGGGCCCCACCCUCUCACUGGCCCGAGAGGGAUUAAGUUUAUAGGUUGAACCUUAAACCAAUUGUUCAAUAGUGGAUUAGUGGGACUUAAGGAGCAAGAUGUAAUCUUGGGGGUAAAACGGUAUUUUGACCCAGCCAAGGUUACGAGCAACCUGUGAAGGAUUAACUUACUGAUUAUGGUUUUAUCAAAUGGACACAAAUAUAUCUAUAGUGAGGGGAGUGCAACUACGGGACUUUAGUGGAAUGACCCGUUAGUUAACGAAUGUUGAUUAACUCGGUUUAAAAGAGUUUAGCUAGUUAAUCUUGAAUCGUUGGAGCCCAUGAUCUAUAGGUCCAUUAGGUUCCUCUGCUAGCUCAUAUGGAUUAAACUUAGAACAGUGUGAUGAAAUAAGUCGAAUUGUUCGAAUUGGGAGAAGAAAGGGAAACCGACAAAUAUAGUGAUAUAGUCGUCGGUCUUCUAAUUAGAAAUAGAGCUUUAUGUUUUACAUACUAUAAGUAUGAAUGCGGAUUCAUACUAAGAAGCUCGGAAUUGGUCAAAAAUAGUAAAAAGUCAAAAUGUUGACUUUUGACUUUGAAAAAUCAAACUUUGACCGGCCUUAUAUUCAAAUGUGAUUUGAAUUUUGGAAAAAUGAAUGCGGAUUCAUGCUCGGGAGGUUGGAAUUAGUCAAGACGGACAAAAUGGUAAAAAGUCAAAAUAUUGACUUUUGACUUAGAAAAGUCAAAGUUUGACUUUUGACUAGAAAAUUCUAAUGACCAUUUUACCCUUGGACUAAGUUAGUGGGAAAAUCCAACAUUUUGUUGGAUAAUCCCACUAACUCUUAGUGGGAUAUGUGGCUAUAUGAGAUAUAGACACCUAGCCCACUAAGUUCCACUAAUUGUUAGUGGAAUAUUAGGUGUUGAGAUUUGGCAAUUGAAUUGCAUGCAUUUUUGCAUGUAAUUAGGCUAUAAAUAGAGAUGUUUUCAAAUGUUGAAGGACUUUUGCCUCUUUUAUCAUUUUUCAUAAUCUCAACAAAAAGAAAAAAGAAAGCUUCCAAUCUCAUUUUAUCUCCAUUACUUUCUACAUCAAAAUUGGGUCCCACAACCCGGUUCUUUGUCUAGAGGAUAGCAGUUGAGUACUAGUGGUGGUCUCGGGUAGAAUUUGUAAGAAGACAUCAAACCUUUUGAAAGCUUCAAAGGUAAUACUUCUUAAAACCCUAAUUUGAUUAGUUUAUGGUUACAUGUUAAUUGUGGCAAUUAGGGUAGAAAUUCGAUUCUUUUUCCGCUGUGCAUGACUUAGUUCUAUCAAUAUCUAUGUAUUUUGUAUUAUAGAUUGGUUUGAAAUUUUAAGUUUCUUAUUAUGAUUCGAAUUACAUGCAUUUUGGGUAUCAAACUUUAAUUAUAUUGGUCAUCGUCUUGAAAUCUAAUAACACACAUCCUUAAAACUCUACCCUAAACCCUAAACUCUGAAACCCCAAACGCAUCACCCCAAAGCCCAAAAUCACGAACCUCGAACCAGUCCAUGCACCCUAAACCCGAAAACUUCAAACCGUAAAUCCCAAAUCCUCUAAACCCCUAAACUCCUAAACCUCAAAACUUCUAAACCUCAAAACUCAAAAUCUGAAAUCUGAAACUUGUAAUCCUAACUUCAAACUUUGUUGGAUGAGAUAAAAAUUUGUAUUAUUUAGGGAAUAUUCAUGGAUUAGUUUGAAAUAUUGAGUUUUUUAUUAUGAUUCGAAUUACAUGCAUUUUGGGAACCAAACUUUGAUUAAUAUUGGUCAUCGUCUCGGAAUCUAAUAACACCCAGCCCUAUAACUCUAACCUAAACCCCAAACACUCCACCACAAAUCUCGAAAUCACGAACCCCGAACCGAUCCAUGCACCCUAAACCCGAAAUCUGAAAUCGCAAACCAUAAAUCCUAAACUUUAACCCCUAAAUCAUACACCCCAAAGUACCCCAAACCUCAAACCACGAACCUCAAACCUUAAUCCCGAAACUCGAACCCAAAAUCCUAAACACUAAACCCUAAAUUACCCCUAACCCCGAACCCUAAACCUCAAAUCUCGAACCUCGAACCUCGAACCUUGAACCUGGAACCCUGAACCAAAAACCACCAACCUCGAAACCUCGAAAAGUCUAAACCUCGAAACCCAAACCGCAAACCUUCCAACCCUCAAACCCCAACCCCAAACCCCCAACCCAAACUCCAAAACCCAAACCUCAAAAGUUCGAAAAGUCUAAACCUCGAACCCCAACCCCUACCUCUCAAACCAUCAAACCCUAAACCCUAAACCCCAAAACCCCAAAACCCUAAAACCCCAAAACGACCAAACAAUGCUUAAGUGUAAGUUCGUAACUCACAAACUAACAAAAAGAUCAAAAUGCGUGAAAAAUGCACUUUGAGACAUAAAAUGACAACCAAGUAUGCAAGUGAAACAAACUUAGUCUUAAACAAAUCUAAAAAAAUUUCAAACUGUGUUUAAGUAUCACUUGAACUUUCAGAACGACCUAAGAAUGUUUAUUCGUAAGUUUGUCACUCAUAACCUACCAAAAAAUUCAAAAAGUACGGAAAAGAAAAAAACACUACAGGACCCAAAAUGGCAACCAAGUGUGCAAGUGCAACAAACUUAGUUCCAAACCAACCUAAAAAGUGGUCAAGGCAUGUCCAAGUAUUACUUGGACUUUCAAAACGACUUAACAAAGCUUAAGUGUAAGUUGGUAACCCAUAGCCUACCAAAAAGUUCAAAAAGUGUGAAAAGGGCACUUCAAGACCCAAAAUGGCAACCAAGUGGGUAAGGUCAACAAACUUAGUUUCAAACGAACCUACAACGAGUUCAAAACGUGUCUCAGUAUAACUUGAACUUUCAAAACGACCUAAAAAAUCUUACGUGUAGGUUCGUAACUCAUAACCUACCAAAAAAGUUCAACUAGUGUGAAAAAAGCACUACAAGACCCAAAAUGGCAACCAAGUGUGCAAGUGCAACAAACUUAGUGCAAACCAACCUAAAAUGUGCUCAAAACGUGUCUAGGUAUUACUUGAGUUUUCAAAACGACCUAGCAAAUCCUAAGUGUAAGUUCGUAACUCAUAAUCUACCAAAAAGGUUGAAAAAAGAAUUUCAAGACCAAAAAUGACAACCAAGUGUGUAAGUGCAACAAACACAAUCUAGCCUAAAAUGUAAUCAAAACGUGUGUAAGCAUCACUUGAAUUUUCAAAACGACCAAACAAUGCUUAAAGUGUAAGUUUGUAACUCACAACCUACCAAAAUUUCAAAAAGUGUGAAAAAAGUACUUCAAGACCCAAAACGGCAACGAAGUAUCUAAGUGCAACGAACUUAGUUUCAAGCCAUAUAGAGUUCAAAACGUGUCUAAGCUUUCAAACCGACCAAACAAUACUCAAGCGUAAGUUCGUAACUCACAACCUACAAAAAUUUCAAAAAGUGUGAAAAACAAACACUUCAAGACCCAACAUGUCAACCAAAUGUGUAACAAACUUAGUUCCAAACAAACACAGCAUGUGUUUAAAACGACCUAACAAUGCUUAAGUGUAAGUUCGUAACUCAUAAACUAACAAAAAGUUCAAAAUGCUUGUGAAACAAGUAUGCAAGUGAAACAAACUUAGUCUUAAACAAAUCUAAAAAAAUUUCAAACCGUGUUUAAGUAUCACUUGAACUUUCAGAACAACCUAAGAAUGUUUAUUUGUAAGUUCGUCACUCAUAAUACCAAAAAAGUUCAAAAAGUAUGGAAAAAAAACACUCGAGGAUCCAAAAUGGCAACCAAGUGUGCAAGUGCAACAAACUUAGUUCCAAACCAACCUAAAAAGUGGUCAAGGCGUGUCUAAGUAUCACUUGGACUUUCAAAAUGAUCUAACAAAGCUUAAGUGUAAGUUGGUAACCCAUAGCCUACCAAAAAGUUCAAAAAGUGUGAAAACAGCACGUCAAGACCCAAAAUGGCAACCAAGUGGGUAAGGUCAAUAAACUUAGCUUCAAACCAACCUAAAACGAGUUCAAAACGUGUCUAAGUAUCACUUGAACUUUUCAAAGGAUCUAAAAAAGCUUAUGUGUAGGUUCGUAACUCAUAAGCUACCAAAAAGUUCAAAAACUAUGAAAAGAGCACUUGAAGACCCAAAAUGACAACCAAGUAUGUAAGUGCAACAAACUCAAUCUAACCUAAAAUGUAUUCAAAACGUGUGUAAGUAUCACUUGAAUUUUCAAAACGACCAAACAAUGCUUAAGUAUAAGUUUGUAACUCACAACCUACCAAAAUUUAAAAAAGUGUGAAAAAAGCACUCCAUGACCCAAAAUGGCAACCAAGUGCACAAGUGCAACAAAUUUAGUUCCAAACCAACCUAAAAAGUGGUCAAGGUGUGUCUAAGUAUCACUUGGACUUUCAAAACGAUCUAGCAAAGCUUAAGUGUAAGUUGGUAAUGAUAGAACUAAGACAUGCACAGCGGAAAAAAGAAUCGAAUUUCUACCCUAAUUGCCACAAUUAACAUGUAACCCUAAACUAAUCAAGUUAGGGUUUUAGGAAAUAUUACUUUUGAAGCUUUCAAAAAACUUUGAUACCUUCUUGUCAAUUCAAACCGAGACCACCACUAGUACUCAACUACUAUCCUCUUGGACAAAGAACCGGGUUGUGGGACCCAAUUUGGUGUAGAAAGAAAUGAAGAUAAAAUGGAAUUGGAAGGUAGAAAUUUUCUUCUUUUGUUGAGAGAUGUUGGAGGAUAAUAAAAAAGGAAAAAGUCUUCAACAAUUUGAAAACUCCCCUAUUAAUAACCUAAUUACAUGCAAAAAUGCAUGUAAUUAAUUUGCCAAAUCUCAACACCUAAUGUUCCACUAACAAUUAGUGGAACUUAGUGGGCUAGGUGUCUAUAUCUAUAGCCACAAAUCCCACUAAGCGUUAGUGGGAUUAUCCAACAAAAAUGUUGGAUUUUCUCACUAACUUAGUCCAAGGGUAAAAUGGUCAUUAGAUAUUUCAAGUCAAACGUCAAACUUUGACUUUUCUUAGUCAAAAGUCAAUAUUUUGACUUUUUACCAUUUUAUUCCGUCUUGACUAAUUCCAACCUCCCGACAUUGAAUCCGCAUUCAUUUUCCAAAAUUCAAAUCACAUUUGAAUAUAAGGUCGGUCAAAGUUUGACUUUUCAAAGUUAAAAGUCAACAUUUUGACUUUUUACUAUUUUUUACUAAUUCCAUCAAUUCCGAGCUUCUUAGUAUGAAUUCGCGUUCAUACUUAUAGUAUGUAAAACAUAAAGCUCUAUUUCUAAUUAGAAGACCGACGACUAUAUCACUAUAUUUGUCGAUUUCUCUUUCUUCUUCCAAUUCGAACAAUUCAACUUAUUUCAUCACACUGUUCUAAGUUUAAUCCAUAUGAGCUAGCAAGGGAACCUAAUGGACCUAUAGAUCAUGGGCACCAACGAUUCAAGAUUAACUAGCCAAACUCUUUUAGACCGAGUUAAUCAACAUUCGUUAACUAACGGGUCAUUCCACUAAAGUCCCGUAGUUGCACUCCCCUCACUAUAGAUAUAUUUGUGUCCAUUUGAUAAAACCAGAUGUAAGUUAAUCCUUCACAGGUUGCUCGUAACCUUGGCUGGGUCAAAAUACCGUUUUACCCCCAAGAUUACAUCUUGCUCCUUAAGUCCCACUAAUCCACUAUUGAAUAAUUGGUUAAGGUUCAACCUAUAAACUUAAUCCCUCUCGGCCAAUGAGAGGGUGGGCCCUUGUUCAAGACUUGGAUUCAGUGCUUAACAGAACAACCUAUCUACUAACCCUAAAGCGGGUAGGAGUGAAUUUCAUCUUGUACCCUAUGUUCCUAGCUAUCCACAUGAUCUAACCCCUGGAAUGGGAGGCUUAUUAGGCCAACGCUGAUGAGCUGCCCUCACCUAUGCAGAUCUAAGGAUAAUCUCGUGUGAACAGGAGUUCAUAGUUAACUCAGGAUUAAGAUUAAGUUACCUAGGUCAUCAAUAAUCGAGAUAGUCAGUUUUAAACAGUAAACGGUGUUAUUGAUAGAACUAAGUCAUGCACAGCGGAAAAAGAAUCGAAUUUCUACCCUAAUUGCCACAAUUAACAUGUAACCAUAAACUAAUCAAAUUAGGGUUUUAAGAAGUAUUACCUUUGAAGCUUUCAAAAGUUUGAUGUCUUCUUACCAAUUCUACCCGAGACCACCACUAGUACUCAACUGCUAUCCUCUAGACAAAGAACCGGGUUGUGGGACCCAAUUUUGGUGUAGAAAAUAAUGGAGAUAAAAUGAGAUUGGAAGCUUUUUUUUUCUUUUGUUGAGAUGAUGAAAAUGAUAAAAGAGGCAAAAGUCCUUCA